Molecule: ribosomal RNA, 250 nt
Filed under: uncultured bacterium
Lineage: Bacteria
Description: partial 16S ribosomal RNA
Rfam family: Bacterial small subunit ribosomal RNA
Source: RNAcentral
GACAGAGGAUGCAAGCGUUAUCCGGAAUGAUUGGGCGUAAAGCGUCUGUAGGUUGUGUGACAAGUUUUCUGUCAAAGAUCAGGGCUUAACCCUGGGCCGGCAGGAAAAACUAUCAUGCUAGAGUUCGGUAGAGGCAGAGGGAAUUCCCAGUGGAGCGGUGAAAUGCGUAGAUAUUGGGAGGAACACCAAAGGCGAAAGCACUCUGCUGGGCCGAGACUGACACUGAGAGACGAAAGCGAGGGGAGCAAAU